This 232-nucleotide ribosomal RNA is filed under the name uncultured bacterium. RNAcentral describes it as "partial 16S ribosomal RNA". It matches the Rfam family "Bacterial small subunit ribosomal RNA", at positions 99 to 334 of the family's 1533-position model. The record is from RNAcentral.
CGGACGGGUGAGUAAUGUCUGGGAAACUGCCCGAUGGAGGGGGAUAACUACUGGAAACGGUAGCUAAUACCGCAUAACGUCGCAAGACCAAAGAGGGGGACCUUCGGGCCUCUUGCCAUCGGAUGUGCCCAGAUGGGAUUAGCUAGUAGGUGGGGUAAUGGCUCACCUAGGCGACGAUCCCUAGCUGGUCUGAGAGGAUGACCAGCCGCACUGGAACUUAGACACGGUCCAG